This 460-nucleotide ribosomal RNA is filed under the name uncultured bacterium. RNAcentral's name for it is "partial 16S ribosomal RNA". It matches the Rfam family "Bacterial small subunit ribosomal RNA", at positions 338 to 795 of the family's 1533-position model. The record is from RNAcentral.
CCUACGGGAGGCAGCAGUGAGGAAUAUUGGUCAAUGGGCGCGAGCCUGAACCAGCCAAGUAGCGUGAAGGAUGACUGCCCUACGGGUUGUAAACUUCUUUUAUAAAGGAAUAAAGUGAGGCACGUGUGCCUUUUUGUAUGUACUUUAUGAAUAAGGAUCGGCUAACUCCGUGCCAGCAGCCGCGGUAAUACGGAGGAUCCGAGCGUUAUCCGGAUUUAUUGGGUUUAAAGGGAGCGUAGAUGGGUUGUUAAGUCAGUUGUGAAAGUUUGCGGCUCAACCGUAAAAUUGCAAUUGAUACUGGCAGCCUUGAGUACAGUUGAGGUAGGCGGAAUGCGCAGUGUAGCGGUGAAAUGCUUAGAUAUUGCGCAGAACUCCGAUUGCGAAGGCAGCAUACCGGCGGCGAUCUGACGCUGAGGCACGAAAGCGUGGGUAUCGAACAGGAUUAGAUACCCCAGUAGUC